AACCUUUAAAUUCUAGAUUGUAGCAAUAAUGGAAGAGAUAGAAGACAUUUAUGUACAAAUACUAUUCCUUUUCCCAGCACCAAUAUACUUCUUUCUAUCACAGCUUCAGUUUAAAAGCAUUCAAGGAGUUUCUGAAGCCUACAGCUUGUGAAGAAGAGUGCCUCAUCUGCUGGAAGAACACACUUUACAUAAAAGAGGAUGAGAUUUGGAGAAUGAGAACAUUACUGGAGCCUGACGUGGGGGAAACCAACAAGCCAGGAAGGACGAAAUCAGUUGAGGGAGAUUUGAACCGCUACUCAAGUGUGCAGAGUACCAGGGAGAGCCCCAACAGGUCCUUGAGGAGGCAUCUAAGAACAACCCAAGCAAAUGCAAAUCCUGGAAGAGCAGCCUUCACGUCCAUUAUCUACAGCAUCACUUUUAUAACAUGCUUAGCUGUGUGGUUGCCGGCUCCGCAGAAGAUUAGAAGUGGAAAGUCGAGAGAGAAUAAAGGGUGGUGUCAGACAUCGUAAAACCGAGAGCAGAAAACCCCUUGAUGUGGCUAAAGGAACAGAAGGACCAAGAACCAUGCGCAACCAGUUACCCGCCAGGAAGUAGAGCACACUGUGACCAUGGUCCUGCAUAAACACCAGGCUCAUUAUGUUGAGUUAGGUGUUCUCCAUUUAAGAAACCAGAGGUGAAUAUAUAUUUGAAUGCUAUUUACACCAAUGUAGUUAAAUUUUCAAGGCAGCUAUUUUCAAAUAGACAAGGCUUAAUUAGUUAUAAAAUUUGCUAGGGGGAAAUGACCUACUUCUGCAAACUGAAAAUAAAAGAGAUGACUACACAAAAUGUUUUUUAUCU
This 837-nucleotide long non-coding RNA is filed under the name Vulpes vulpes (red fox). Its description in RNAcentral is "lncRNA (ENSVVUG00000007285.1)". Lineage: Eukaryota; Metazoa; Chordata; Mammalia; Carnivora; Canidae. The record is from RNAcentral.